UACGUAGGGUGCGAGCGUUAAUCGGAAUUACUGGGCGUAAAGCGUGCGCAGGCGGUUUUGUAAGCCAGAUGUGAAAGCCCCGGGCUCAACCUGGGAAUGGCAUUUGGGACUGCAAGGCUUGAGUGCGGCAGAGGAGACUGGAAUUCCUGGUGUAGCAGUGAAAUGCGUAGAUAUCAGGAGGAAUACCGAUGGCGAAGGCAGGUCUCUGGGCUGACACUGACGCUCAUGCACGAAAGCGUGGG
This 242-nucleotide ribosomal RNA is filed under the name uncultured bacterium. RNAcentral describes it as "partial 16S ribosomal RNA". It matches the Rfam family "Bacterial small subunit ribosomal RNA", at positions 524 to 765 of the family's 1533-position model. The record is from RNAcentral.